UGAGAGAAGAUGGAAAGACGGUUUACGCUGUCACUUAUAGAUGGGCCCGCGGCGCAUUAGCUAGUUGGUGAGGUAAUGGCUCACCAAGGCGACGAUGCGUAGCCGACCUGAGAGGGUGAUCGGCCACACUGGGACUGAGACACGGCCCAGACUCCUACGGGAGGCAGCAGUAGGGAAUCUUCCGCAAUGGACGAAAGUCUGACGGAGCAACGCCGCGUGAACGAAGAAGGCCUUCGGGUCGUAAAGUUCUGUUGUUAGGGAAGAACAAGUACCAGAGUAACUGCUGGUACCUUGACGGUACCUAACCAGAAAGCCACGGCUAACUACGUGCCAGCAGCCGCGGUAAUACGUAGGUGGCAAGCGUUGUCCGGAAUUAUUGGGCGUAAAGCGCGCGCAGGUGGUUCCUUAAGUCUGAUGUGAAAGCCCACGGCUCAACCGUGGAGGGUCAUUGGAAACUGGGGAACUUGAGUGCAGAAGAGGAAAGUGGAAUUCCAAGUGUAGCGGUGAAAUGCGUAGAGAUUUGGAGGAACACCAGUGGCGAAGGCGACUUUCUGGUCUGUAAACUGACACUGAGGC
This 576-nucleotide ribosomal RNA is filed under the name Bacillus sp. (in: firmicutes). RNAcentral describes it as "bacterial SSU rRNA". It matches the Rfam family "Bacterial small subunit ribosomal RNA", at positions 190 to 752 of the family's 1533-position model. The record is from RNAcentral. Lineage: Bacteria; Bacillati; Bacillota; Bacilli; Caryophanales; Bacillaceae.